This 253-nucleotide ribosomal RNA is filed under the name uncultured bacterium. RNAcentral describes it as "partial 16S ribosomal RNA". It matches the Rfam family "Bacterial small subunit ribosomal RNA", at positions 524 to 776 of the family's 1533-position model. The record is from RNAcentral.
UACGUAGGGUCCGAGCGUUGUCCGGAAUUAUUGGGCGUAAAGAGCGUGUAGGCGGUUCGGUAAGUCUGCCGUGAAAACCCAGGGCUCAACCCUGGGCGUGCGGUGGAUACUGCCGGGCUAGAGGGUGGUAGAGGCGAGUGGAAUUCCCGGUGUAGCGGUGAAAUGCGCAGAUAUCGGGAGGAACACCAGUAGCGAAGGCGGCUCGCUGGGCCACACCUGACGCUGAGACGCGAAAGCGUGGGGAGCAAACAGG